This is a microRNA precursor of Astyanax mexicanus (Mexican tetra), 101 nucleotides long. It matches the Rfam family "mir-214 microRNA precursor family". The record is from Rfam. NCBI's taxonomy places the organism in Eukaryota, Metazoa, Chordata, Actinopteri, Characiformes, Acestrorhamphidae.
CUUGGUGGGUUGCUGUCUGUCUGCCUGUCUGUGCCUGCUGUACAGGCUCCCUGAUGUUCUGCACAGCAAGUGUAGACAGGCAGACACACCACAACUACCGC